This 244-nucleotide unclassified non-coding RNA is filed under the name plant metagenome. Its description in RNAcentral is "partial contains small subunit ribosomal RNA, internal transcribed spacer 1, and 5.8S ribosomal RNA". The record is from RNAcentral.
UCUCCGUUGGUGAACCAGCGGAGGGAUCAUUACCGAGUUUACAACUCCCAAACCCAAUGUGAACCAUACCAAACUGUUGCCUCGGCUGGGUCACGCCCCGGGUGCGUCGCAGCCCCGGAACCAGGCGCCCGCCGGAGGGACCAACCAAACUCUUUCUGUAGUCCCCUCGCGGACGUUAUUUUUACAGCUCUGAGCAAAAAUUCAAAAUGAAUCAAAACUUUCAACAACGGAUCUCUUGGUUCUG